RNAcentral lists this ribosomal RNA (308 nucleotides) under uncultured archaeon. RNAcentral describes it as "bacterial SSU rRNA". It matches the Rfam family "Archaeal small subunit ribosomal RNA", at positions 19 to 332 of the family's 1478-position model. The record is from RNAcentral.
GGACCCGACUGCUAUCAAAGUGGGACUAACCCAUGCGAGUCAACAUAGCAAUAUGUGGCAUACGGCUCAGUAACACGUAGUCAACAUGCCCAGGGGACGUGGAUAACCUCGGGAAACUGAGGAUAAACCGCGAUAGGUCAUCACUUCUGGAAUGGGUAAUGACUUAAAUCUAUAUGGCCCCUGAAUUGGACUGCGGCCAAUCAGGCUGUUGGUGAGGUAAUGGCCCACCAAACCUGUAACCGGUACGGGCUCUGAGAGGAGGAGCCCGGAAAUGGGCACUGAAACAAGGGCCCAGGCCCUAUGGGGCA